This 67-nucleotide transfer RNA is filed under the name Aparapotamon gracilipedum. Its description in RNAcentral is "tRNA-Ile". Lineage: Eukaryota; Metazoa; Arthropoda; Malacostraca; Decapoda; Potamidae. The record is from RNAcentral.
AAUAUAGUGCCUGAAUUUUAAGGAUAGCUUUGAUAGAGCUAAUUAUGUGGGACUCCUACCUAUAUUA